AGAAACUCAUUAUGGUGACAGUCUCAGAUUGGUAAAAGGAGCCAAAAGGUGGGUUUUGAUAGCUCUGUGUCCGGUGGGCAAUGAAGAAAGGUGACCUGCUUUUCAGAAGGCAGAAAUGAAUCCAUUUCUUGGCUGGAAGAUAUUGCACAAUGGUUUAUAAUGCACAACUCAUUUUCCAGGCAGACACCCUGGAUUGUCACUGGAUCGAGAUUGUUGAUGAAAAUAUUGACCAGCACAGAGUUCAUCACAGUUCCUUGAAUUGAAGUAGAUUGUGAUAGAGGUCACCGGACUCAAGAAGACUGAAGAAUCAUAUGCUUGGAUUGUCAAAAUAGCAGCAAUAUUGAAGCCCUGAAAGAUGAGGGCAGGAGACAAUAUGAAGAAGUAGCAAUUUAAGAGGAGUUUCCUCACCUGAGAAUUAUUUAUAUCAAUGGAAUUCCAGGUUACAAGAGAGACACACCAACUCAUGGAACUGGACAAAGGAUGAAAAUAUUUCAAUAUUGUAGGUGAAACUGAGGCCCAGGGAAGAGAACUGAUUGACUUUGGUUAAUACAGAUGAAGCAAUCCCAUUGUCUUCCUCAUUGGGAGUGAGACCAGAAGCAAGUAACUAUAUCCUUCAUUCCCUCCAUUGAUCAUAAUAUUUUGAUGAGAUUGGACCAGUGAGGCACAGGUGAUCGAAAGCACACAUCAAGUUCGAAAGAAGGUAUCCACUCAAGGACAAAAGCAAUAUCAAGGAAUGUGAAUCCAUAUAUUAGAGAAGAAUGUUCAUUAAAUUCAAGAAAAAACUUAU
Sarcophilus harrisii (Tasmanian devil) is the source of this 787-nucleotide long non-coding RNA. RefSeq lists it as uncharacterized. The record is from RefSeq and is a predicted model, not a curated record. Lineage: Eukaryota; Metazoa; Chordata; Mammalia; Dasyuromorphia; Dasyuridae. The transcript has 7 exons.